CAAAGCGUAGCUUAACCAAAGCAUCUCGCUUACACCGGGAACAUGUCUGUUAAAUCCAGAUCGCUUUGA
This 69-nucleotide transfer RNA is filed under the name Scinax squalirostris (striped snouted treefrog). RNAcentral describes it as "tRNA-Val". It matches the Rfam family "tRNA". Rfam says of the family: Transfer RNA (tRNA) molecules are approximately 80 nucleotides in length. Their secondary structure includes four short double-helical elements and three loops (D, anti-codon, and T loops). Lineage: Eukaryota; Metazoa; Chordata; Amphibia; Anura; Hylidae. The record is from RNAcentral. RNAcentral also lists the same sequence under 1 other name.